GAGGCUAUAGCUCAGCAGUAGAGCACGUGCUUAGCACUCACGAGGUCCUGGGUUCAAUUCCCAAUGCGUCC
This 71-nucleotide transfer RNA is filed under the name Camelus bactrianus (Bactrian camel). It matches the Rfam family "tRNA". Rfam says of the family: Transfer RNA (tRNA) molecules are approximately 80 nucleotides in length. Their secondary structure includes four short double-helical elements and three loops (D, anti-codon, and T loops). The record is from Rfam by way of RNAcentral. RNAcentral also lists the same sequence under 2 other names. Lineage: Eukaryota; Metazoa; Chordata; Mammalia; Artiodactyla; Camelidae.